Molecule: ribosomal RNA, 292 nt
Filed under: uncultured bacterium
Lineage: Bacteria
Description: partial 16S ribosomal RNA
Rfam family: Bacterial small subunit ribosomal RNA
Source: RNAcentral
GUGUCAGCAGCCGCGGUAAUACAGAGGGUGCAAACGUUGCUCGGAAUUACUGGGCGUAAAGCGCGUGUAGGCGGUUUCGCGAGUCCGAUGUGAAAGCCCGGGGCUCAACCCCGGAAGUGCAUUGGAUACUACGAAGCUUGAGUGCUGGAGAGGAAAGCGGAAUUCCCGGUGUAGAGGUGAAAUUCGUAGAUAUCGGGAGGAACACCAGUGGCGAAGGCGGCUUUCUGGACAGACACUGACGCUGAUACGCGAAAGCGUGGGGAUCAAACAGGAUUAGAAACCCCCGUAGUCC